Molecule: long non-coding RNA, 743 nt
Filed under: Elaeis guineensis (African oil palm)
Lineage: Eukaryota; Viridiplantae; Streptophyta; Magnoliopsida; Arecales; Arecaceae
Description: long non-coding RNA (EGUI_LNC016344)
Source: RNAcentral
AGGCCAACGAAGGAGAUUGAACUAUAGACAGCUGUUAGGAUUUGCAGUCGGAAAGAGGAUAAGAGAGAAAAGACAGAUAAGAUAGGAUUGGAGGAUUUCAGGGUGUUCGACCGACCUAACCCAAAAUAUCUGGGGUCCACGGGUGUGUGGGUCAUGGGUAAAAUCUAGAUCCGAACUCCAAAUCCAUUAAGAAGCAAGCAAGUACAGCCUAGAUCCAAGACGGUAGAAGCCCAUACAAGCCCGUUUACUAUAAUCUUAGCUUAACAGCUGAAGUAUAAAUAGCAUGUAAUAGAGAGCUAACAAUUUUUUGAAAGUAAGAAAGAAAUGAAUGAAAACUUUCCUCCUAAAUUUUCUCUUCAGAUUUAGCUCCCGAAACCCUCUUUCUCUCCUCUAAAUUCUUUCCUUCCUUCUCUAUUUGCCUCUCAGAUCUACUUGAAAUCCCUUUCUUUCUCUCACUGUACCUGGAUCUGCUCAAAUCUGAGAACAAUCAACUAGAAAAUCUUACCUCAGAGCUUGAGAUAUUAUAAAUUUGAUAUCAGAGAAGUGGAAUCUUUGGAUCUAAGGGUGUGGAUGCCACUCUCACAUAGAUCUAUCUAGUUCAGCCGAUCAGCAACAGGUAUUCAGUGGAUCUCUGAAUUUCACACACAAUAGACAGUAAUAGCAAUAAAUCUGAUCUGAAUCAAGAGUUUGAUCUCUGAAUUUUACACAAUAGACAACAAUAGCAUUAGAUCUGACCUGUAUCA